GCCUUUGUGGUGUAAUGGUAGCGUAUUCGAGAGGUCCAGGGUUCGAAUCCCAGUGAGGGCA
RNAcentral lists this transfer RNA (61 nucleotides) under Stegodyphus mimosarum. It matches the Rfam family "tRNA". Rfam says of the family: Transfer RNA (tRNA) molecules are approximately 80 nucleotides in length. Their secondary structure includes four short double-helical elements and three loops (D, anti-codon, and T loops). Further hydrogen bonds mediate the characteristic L-shaped molecular structure. tRNAs have two regions of fundamental functional importance: the anti-codon, which is responsible for specific mRNA codon recognition, and the 3' end, to which the tRNAs corresponding amino acid is attached (by aminoacyl-tRNA synthetases). tRNAs cope with the degeneracy of the genetic code in two manners: having more than one tRNA (with a specific anti-codon) for a particular amino acid; and 'wobble' base-pairing, i.e. permitting non-standard base-pairing at the 3rd anti-codon position. Lineage: Eukaryota; Metazoa; Arthropoda; Arachnida; Araneae; Eresidae. The record is from Rfam by way of RNAcentral.